GAUGAACGCUGGCGGCGUGCUUAACACAUGCAAGUCGAACGAGAAGUGAAGACGGAAACCUUCGGGCGGAAGGCUUUAUUUCGAGUGGCGGACGGGUGAGUAACGCGUGGGUAACCUGCCUCAUACAGGGGGAUAACAGUUGGAAACGACUGUUAAUACCGCAUAAGACCACAGCACCGCAUGGUGCGGGGGUAAAAACUCCGGUGGUAUGAGAUGGACCCGCGUUCGAUUAGCCAGUUGGCGGGGUAACGGCCCACCAAAGCGACGAUCGAUAGCCGAUCUGAGAGGAUGACCGGCCACAUUGGGACUGAGACACGGCCCAAACUCCUACGGGAGGCAGCGGUGGGGAAUAUUGCACAAUGGGGGAAACCCUGAUGCAGCGACGCCGCGUGAGUGAAGAAGUAUUUCGGUAUGUAAAGCUCUAUCAGCAGGGAAGAAAAUGACGGUACCUGAGUAAGAAGCCCCGGCUAACUACGU
Molecule: ribosomal RNA, 477 nt
Filed under: uncultured bacterium
Lineage: Bacteria
Description: partial 16S ribosomal RNA
Rfam family: Bacterial small subunit ribosomal RNA
Source: RNAcentral